AGAGCAAACACUUUACCACCGGUUCUAACCUUCUUCGGUUGUGUACACUGUGAACUGAUACGGCCCUCCUCAUUGCAGUUAUAGCAAAUUAUGUCUCCCCGCUUACAAUCAACUAAUGUGUGUCCCUUCUGUCCACACCUGAAGCACUUCUUCUCACCUUUAGUACAAACAUUACUCUUGUGGCCUUUCUCACCACACUUGUAGCAAACAAUCUCAGCAGAAGCAUCUCUCCUCUUGGGCCUCCUCUCAUCAUUCAGCCUCUGUUUUCCUUUGUCAGCAGGGGCACUAUACGGUUUAGGACGACUCUACUGUCCCUUGCCUUUACGCUCACUCAUCACCUUGUAAUGAGCUUUCCUAUCUUCCUCAUAUAUUCUGCAGCUACUCACCAACUCGGAGAAAUUUCUUAUCUUCUGAUAGCCAAUGGAGAACUCAGCUGUCUCCGCGGUAUA
Molecule: long non-coding RNA, 449 nt
Filed under: Medicago truncatula (barrel medic)
Lineage: Eukaryota; Viridiplantae; Streptophyta; Magnoliopsida; Fabales; Fabaceae
Description: long non-coding RNA (MTRU_LNC007203)
Source: RNAcentral